AGAGUUUGAUCCUGGCUCAGAACGAACGCUGGCGGCGCGCCUAAUACAUGCAAGUCGAGCGAGAAGGUGUAGCAAUACACUUGUAAAGCGGCGAACGGGUGAGGAAUACAUGGGUAAUCUACCAUCGAGUGGGGAAUAACCAACCGAAAGGUUGGCUAAUACCGCGUACGCUUCCGAAUCUUCUGGUUUGGAAGGAAAGCCGUGCUGUGAGUACGGCGCUCUUUGAUGAGCUCAUGUCCUAUCAGCUUGUUGGUAGGGUAACGGCCUACCAAGGCUUUGACGGGUAGCUGGUCUGAGAGGACGAUCAGCCACACUGGCACUGCGACACGGGCCAGACUCCUACGGGAGGCAGCAGUAAGGAAUAUUGCGCAAUGGGCGAAAGCCUGACGCAGCGACGCCGCGUGGGGGAUGAAGGUCUUCGGAUUGUAAACCCCUUUCGGGAGGGAAGAUGGAGCGAGCAAUCGUUCGGACGGUACCUCCAGAAGCAGCCACGGCCAACUUCGUGCCAGCAGCCGCGGUAAUACGAAGGUGGCAAGCGUUGUUCGGAUUCACUGGGCGUACAGGGUGUGUAGGCGGUUUGGUAAGCCUUCUGUUAAAGCUUCGGGCCCAACCCGGAAAGCGCAGAGGGUACUGCCAGGCUAGAGGGUGGGAGAGGAGCGCGGAAUUCCCGGUGUAGCGGUGAAAUGCGUAGAUAUCGGGAGGAAGGCC
Molecule: ribosomal RNA, 708 nt
Filed under: uncultured Nitrospira sp.
Lineage: Bacteria; Pseudomonadati; Nitrospirota; Nitrospiria; Nitrospirales; Nitrospiraceae
Description: bacterial SSU rRNA
Rfam family: Bacterial small subunit ribosomal RNA
Source: RNAcentral